This 430-nucleotide ribosomal RNA is filed under the name uncultured bacterium. RNAcentral's name for it is "bacterial SSU rRNA". It matches the Rfam family "Bacterial small subunit ribosomal RNA", at positions 354 to 796 of the family's 1533-position model. The record is from RNAcentral.
GUGGGGAAUAUUGCACAAUGGGCGAAAGCCUGAUGCAGCAACGCCGCGUGAGGGACGACGGCCUUCGGGUUGUAAACCUCUUUUAGUAGGGAAGAAGCGAAAGUGACGGUACCUGCAGAAAAAGCACCGGCUAACUACGUGCCAGCAGCCGCGGUAAUACGUAGGGUGCAAGCGUUAUCCGGAAUUAUUGGGCGUAAAGAGCUCGUAGGCGGUCUGUCGCGUCUGCUGUGAAGACUGGAGGCUCAACCUCCAGGCUGCAGUGGGUACGGGCAGACUAGAGGGCGGUAGGGGAGAUUGGAAUUCCUGGUGUAGCGGUGGAAUGCGCAGAUAUCAGGAGGAACACCGAUGGCGAAGGCAGAUCUCUGGGCCGUAACUGACGCUGAGGAGCGAAAGCGUGGGGAGCGAACAGGAUUAGAAACCCCAGUAGUCC